AAGCACUUUCUCUAAAACAUCAAAGCUUAUAUUAAAAAUACCAGGAAAAGAGGGAGUUCUCAUCACAGCACAGGGAAUCUCAAGUGUCCUCCUGACAGAAAUAACUAACUUGCUCUUUGCAACAGGAAGAGAGCUGAACAACUCCACCUCACUCCAUCCAUUACCUCAUCCCAACUCUUAGUCUAGCCUACAGCAUCUGAGUUCUGGGAAUGGGCUCAGGCAGAAAAUAAGUUAAAGAGUUCAGGCAAUGUCAGCUCUUUAAGAUAGGUAGCAAGGGAACUAAAAAUAUUUCCAAAGCGAGAAAAUCUUCCUGGCACCUUAUUCUUGCUCAGCUUUGUCAAAGCUCUCCACAGGCAGCAGUGAAGCACAGCGCAACCCCCGCGUAAUGGCGCACUGUGCGGUGGGGGAGGCCAACGCGAGCAGCAGCCCAAGCCGUGGACAGGCAAAAGGGAGGCAGCGCAGGAGGAGAGCGAGCAUGUGGAGCUGCAAGGAGAGUUCUUGCUUGACUCAAACACAGCCGCGCAAGACUUUAGCCACGCAGCACUUGUCUGCAGGGGGAACACAGUUCUGGUCUGAUGGCAGAAGCAGCCUGUUUAUGUGACACAAGGCCUUACACACUGUACUGGGUAGUGCUACGAGUGACAGGGGCAGUAGUUUACUCACCCUUCUUGCAACCCUCAUGAAAUCAUCGGCUUGAAGUUCUGCUGCUUUUAGUGUUGCUUCUGAAUCUAUUCCCAUCACCAGUGUACCCACAAGUCGCAGCAGGUUGGAAGAUGAAAGCCAUUCAUUGCUCAUGCUCCGAGAGAGGUUCGUUUUCACCGCUGAAGAGGAUCACUGCAGAGACAUUAACCUGGAAAGGAAGCGCAUACAUGUGUGGGAUAAGAAGGGCAGAAUAUAUCGCUCAACACACAGUCAUAGGAGCGCAGAGGCUCUUUCUCCUGCUCACAGCAGGCCAUUUCCUCACAGCAUUGAUGCAGAACAGAGAGAGUGAUCGGAAAUGGCUGAAACGGGAGGCAGUGGCCCUGCUCAGGAGAGAAAGCGGGUGAUCUCGGAGUCUGUCAGAAAGCACCUGCUGUACAGAAAUACUGCAGGAGAAUGGUGUGGCCAGGUGCUGCUCAAGGGUCUCAGAAGAUCUGAAGAGAGAGGUCAGAGUUUCCACUUUGAUUGAAAAUUUCUUCUGUUUUAGAGGAGGAAGAGAGGAAAAAUCGGGGAUCUUUGGAACUGGAGACCAGACAGGCAAGGAUUUUGAAAAAAAUACAUAGUGGUUAGACACAUGAUUCAGGAAGAAAAUGUGGAACAACAAUUCUGACGGGGAAAGGAAGAUGGGGAAGUGUGUUCAGGUAGUAUGAGAAUGUAAGACAGAUGGAUAAGAAAAAGGGAAAAGUAGGAAAAGCCGGUAUUACUUUUUCCAAAAAAAGCAAAACGUCUGGUGAAAAAGUUUAGAACUUCUAAAUAUAUCCCAUAUUGUAAGGAGUCCCCGCAACCUUCAGAUAAAUUGCAUGGAUUGCAUUUGAGAUUAGGAGGGGAAAAGUUAAUAGGAUGAUUUUUUUUUUUUUCCCUGUUACGAUGUGUUUCACAAUUCACAAUUUAAGAAUGCAUGGCCCAAUCAGAGUAUGUGCAAAUGUCAUGCCAUAUUUUCUUCUGGUUUGCUUUUCCUGUGACAUACAAAAUGUCUGCAGUCAGAGUGCCCAGUAUUUCUCCUGAUCUGGCCUCUAAGGUCUAAGUUCUUCCAGGAACAAACCAUUCAUAAUGAGCAGGCCCAUCACCAAUACACAAGGAACAAACCUUUCACCCUUGCUAUAUGCAACCACACACAUAGUUAGUUUUUAACAUAUAUUCAGGUCAUCUUUAAACCAGUAUUCUGCAAUGGAAAAUAAUUAAAAUUCAGAGCAACAUCAAAGGGUUCAGAAUGUGUUUAAUUGAAACAUUUUAGAAAAGCUGCCAACUUUCUGAGAGAUGAAUUGCCAUACGUGUAUUCCUAUGGGAAAUUAUUAAAUUAAUUGAAAAAGCUAUAAUAUGACUGAUAGCACUUACUAUCGCAAUAAAUGAGCAUCACAGAGUCAGCUGUUAAUCAGGAUUAGAGAUUAAAUGGGGACGGGCUGGUAAGUGUAGGUUCUUUUCACCUACAGCAGUUCUGUGAAGGAAGCCUCUUUGUUUCAACCUUGAACAUUAUGCAACCAGUCCUAGACAAGUUUCCUGUCGAACAGCUUGGCUGAAUGCAGAAAUCAAGGUCUACAAAUAUCUGUGACAAGGAAAUUCAUACACUUUUUCUACUGCACGCAAUGCUAGUUCCUUUUCGCCUGUGGACAGACUACAGGAUCAGCUCUUUGGCCUGCUUCCUGCAACAAAAUAGGCUAAAGCCAAUGACUGCAGAAAAGAAAUGUCAGAUGCUUGUGUAAGACAUUAUUCAUUACUAUGAUGUAAUAAUUUCUGAAUAACCAAGGCUAGUACAGAGAAAAUAAAAGGAAUCCACAGGAAGACUGAUAAGUGGUUUUAUAAGAACUAAAAAAAGCUGGUAUGCCAUUAUUCUGUAGAAAUCCUUAUUGUAGCUGAACCAGCAUGUUUGGUUUUUUUGUGGAUUUACUUGCUGUACUGGUG
Egretta garzetta (little egret) is the source of this 2598-nucleotide long non-coding RNA. RefSeq lists it as uncharacterized. The transcript has 3 exons. NCBI's taxonomy places the organism in Eukaryota, Metazoa, Chordata, Aves, Pelecaniformes, Ardeidae. The record is from RefSeq and is a predicted model, not a curated record.